CCUACGUGAUGCAGCAGUGAGGAAUAUUGGUCAAUGGACGGAAGUCUGAACCAGCCAUGUCGCGUGAAGGAAGACUGCCCUAUGGGUUGUAAACUGCUUUUGUAUAAGAAUAAACCUGAAUAUGCGUACUCACCUGUAUGUACCAUAUGAAUAAGGAUCGGCUAACUCCGUGCCAGCAGCCGCGGUAAUACGGAGGAUCCGAGCGUUAUCCGGAUUUAUUGGGUUUAAAGGGAGCGUAGGUGGAUUGUUAAGUCAGAGGUGAAAGGUUGCGGCUUAACCGUGAAAUUGCAUUUGAUACUGGUAGUCUAGAGAGCAGUAGAGGUGGGCGGAAUGCGUGGUGUAGCGGUGAAAUGCUUAGAGAUCACGAAGAACUCCGAUUGCGAAGGCAGCUUACUAGUCUGCAUCUGACACUGAGGCUCGAAAGUGUGGGUAUCAAACAGGAUUAGAUACCCGGGUAGUC
RNAcentral lists this ribosomal RNA (460 nucleotides) under uncultured bacterium. RNAcentral's name for it is "partial 16S ribosomal RNA". It matches the Rfam family "Bacterial small subunit ribosomal RNA", at positions 338 to 795 of the family's 1533-position model. The record is from RNAcentral.